Molecule: small nucleolar RNA, 108 nt
Filed under: Meriones unguiculatus (Mongolian gerbil)
Lineage: Eukaryota; Metazoa; Chordata; Mammalia; Rodentia; Muridae
Source: RNAcentral
UAAGCAUCUGAGUAUACCUGAGAGCUUUAUUAACGGCAGAAUUUUUGCUAACACCACUAUAUAGCUUGACCCAGUGACUGUAGGUUAGAAGCAGUCAUUGCCACAAUU